RNAcentral lists this transfer RNA (69 nucleotides) under Perionyx excavatus (compost worm). RNAcentral's name for it is "tRNA-Gln". It matches the Rfam family "tRNA". From Rfam's summary of the family: Transfer RNA (tRNA) molecules are approximately 80 nucleotides in length. Their secondary structure includes four short double-helical elements and three loops (D, anti-codon, and T loops). Further hydrogen bonds mediate the characteristic L-shaped molecular structure. tRNAs have two regions of fundamental functional importance: the anti-codon, which is responsible for specific mRNA codon recognition, and the 3' end, to which the tRNAs corresponding amino acid is attached (by aminoacyl-tRNA synthetases). tRNAs cope with the degeneracy of the genetic code in two manners: having more than one tRNA (with a specific anti-codon) for a particular amino acid; and 'wobble' base-pairing, i.e. permitting non-standard base-pairing at the 3rd anti-codon position. Lineage: Eukaryota; Metazoa; Annelida; Clitellata; Crassiclitellata; Megascolecidae. The record is from RNAcentral.
UAUAAUUUAGUGUACGGUGCACCCAGGUCUUUGAAACCUGAAGAUAGAGUUCAAUACUCCUGAUUAUAA